This 118-nucleotide ribosomal RNA is filed under the name Pteropus alecto (black flying fox). The record is from RNAcentral. Lineage: Eukaryota; Metazoa; Chordata; Mammalia; Chiroptera; Pteropodidae.
GUCUAUAGCCAUGCAUCCUGAAUGUGCCCAAUCUCGUCUGAUCUCAGAAGGUAAGCAGGGUCGGGCCUGGUAAGUACUUGGAUAGGAGACCAUCUAGGUAUACCAGGUGCUGUAGGCA